Drosophila melanogaster (fruit fly) is the source of this 572-nucleotide non-coding RNA. The record is from Ensembl. Lineage: Eukaryota; Metazoa; Arthropoda; Insecta; Diptera; Drosophilidae.
CACUGCCACACACACACACCCAAGACGAGGACGAGGAGAAAAGGACGAGGUCGCCACCGCCAGCGGCUACAAUAAAAACAGGUGCACGAAGCGAAACAGUUACAAGUGCGUCGCAGCUCACUUUCCAUACACCAUAUAGCAUAUACCAUAUAGCAUACGGCCCAAAACUAAUCCCAUACUGCCUGCGAAAGUUUCGAAAUCUGCCCGGAGAUUCCAUGCUAUCUAGCUUCUUGUCAGCGAAACAUUGGUUAGGUGGAAUACCCUUUGCCCACUUGGGGGAUCUCUUAAUUAUGCAUGCGGGUGUCUGUCCUUCUGGAAUCCGAUUUUAUGGAAUGUCCCGGAAUGCGUGAAUUCAUUUCUACUCAGCCGCAAUUGGUUGGACGUAUGUAUACUUGGUUGCCUACAUCUAAAAUUAAUGUUUUAUCAUUUUGUGGGAAGCUCAUUGCUGCCAAUUUUUGUGUGCGUCAGCAGAAUCGUUUCCCAUAACGCAUAAAAACCUGUAUUGUUUAACUUGAUAUUCAGUUGUAUAUAUUUUACCAUAUAUAUUAUGAGUUAUUUUUUUAAGAAUGAAA